CCUGGACUCUUCACUCACCGCUGUAGCCCCGGGCAUAGCACAGUGCCUGGCACACAGAACGGGCUCCAUCAAUAUUUGUUGAAUGACCACACAAAUACUUAUGAAUACGUGAACGAAUUACCUACCCCACCCAGACAGGAAAGUGUGGCUUUGAUCAGAUUCUUCCGUUGCUGAAAAAAAUCAGCCCACUUCCUGUGGCUUUGAUCUGCAGUCUGAAUUCUAAGCUGCCCUGCCUUCGCCAACGGCUCCCACAGCUCAUUUCCUGCUUUCUGGGCACCUUAUCUCUCUCUCCAAAUAUUCCUCAGCUUUCCCUUUCCAGGCCCUCGCCCUGCCCUGGAGGAGGGAAUCGUGGAAGAGAGUUGGGGUGCAAACACAUACGGAUCCUGAGGUAUUGAAGAAGAAUUUGUCACACCCUGAAAAAUGCUCUCCACAAAGCAUUCCCUCAAAGCCUGGAGUCACUCACCUCCUUCACUCUGGACAUCCCCCCCACUGAUGAUAUUCGUACUUUCAGUUACCAUCUCUUCCUCUGCACAGGAGUCAGCGGACAUGGGUUCAAGCCCCGGUUCUACCACUUAUGAAUGGCAUGACCUCGGCCAAGUGUUGCUUGCUAAGCUCAGUUUCCUCAUCUAUAAAAUAGGCUUAAUGGAGCCAACCUUAAAAGGUUGCUGUGAGGAUUAAAUGAGAUAAUACAUGUGUGGCAGUUUGAAAAUUAUUAAUAUGUGAAAGUUCCUUCUCUUUCAUUUGAAAAUGUUCAGUCUAAGAUGUGAUGAUUUUAUGAAAUACAAUGGAAACAUGAGGAAUUACAUGCAGUAAUUUGUAGUAUUCAGCAAGCAACUUCAUAGGCCAGCUAGAGAAUUUUUCAAAUUUGUAUUUCUGACUUUAACAUAUAUAUGUAUUUUUAAUUUAAAGCCGUCCCUGACUUGCAAUGAGAGGAUUUAUCAAUAUUCUUGGUUUAUAGUGGAAAUUACCAUCAUAAGACCAUGUAUAGAAUUUAAGGAGAAAACAGCUUGAAUUCCUACAACUGCUGGUUGGAUCUGAACCAGUCUCCAUCGAGCCAGAAUCUGUUUCAUAUCCAAGACCGAGAAAAGCAACAUGGAGACAGCCCAGGUUGUCCUGAGAGCAGUUGUCUGAAAAACAUCAUUGUCCAUUUGAGGAAACUGGUUCUUAGAUGGUUGUGAAUUGGCUUCUUACUUUUAAAAGAAUCAUUUUCUUCCUGGCUGAUCCAGGAGAAAAUUGGAAUGAAAGGAAGGGGUUGCAGAUUUGAGGAAUAAAAACAAAGCAAGGUAAAACCUCUUCUCACCUUGCAUUGGAAAAACUCUCUCUUCAGCAUUUUUAACUUUUGAGUCAAAAGACUCUUACAAAUAAGUAUAAAUGUCAUAUACAUCAUUAUGAAAAUAUUAUUGCCAAGAGGUAAUAAGCCAUAUAUGAAUGCCGUGUGCAACUUUAGGGUUUGCACUUCACCUUAAGGUGUUCACCUCCAUUCACAUCUGUUUACACUAUAUUUCUGUUUACUAAGUGGGGAGGGGUUUCCUUUAUAUAGUGCUUCAUUGUUAAGUCAUCGUUCAGUUCUCAGAUAUUCU
Molecule: long non-coding RNA, 1580 nt
Organism: Choloepus didactylus (southern two-toed sloth)
Lineage: Eukaryota; Metazoa; Chordata; Mammalia; Pilosa; Megalonychidae
Exons: 3
Source: RefSeq, a predicted model, not a curated record